Molecule: ribosomal RNA, 253 nt
Filed under: uncultured bacterium
Lineage: Bacteria
Description: partial 16S ribosomal RNA
Rfam family: Bacterial small subunit ribosomal RNA
Source: RNAcentral
GACAGAGGGUGCAGACGUUGUUCGGAAUUACUGGGCGUAAAGCGCGUGUAGGCGGCCCUGCAAGUCGGAUGUGAAAUCCCACGGCUCAACCGUGGAAGUGCAUUCGAAACUGCAGGGCUAGAGUCCUGGAGAGGAAGGUGGAAUGCUUGGUGUAGAGGUGAAAUUCGUAGAUAUCAAGCGGAACACCGGUGGCGAAGGCGGCCUUCUGGACAGUGACUGACGCUGAGACGCGAAAGCGUGGGGAGCAAACAGG